CUCAGCUAUGAUGAUCAUCUGAGGGUUAGUCGGGCCUAAGGGGAUGGCGAGAGCCGCACCCGAUGGACACAGGGUUAAUAUUCCCUGACUGUUUCUAGAGGCUAAGGAGGGACGGACUGCUGUAUGUGUUGCCGAUUAUUGGAUUUCGGUCAGCAGUGCGAGGAAGUGUGUUAGGCAAAUCCGGCACACAAUAUUCCAAGCACUGACGCAAUUUCCUUCUACGGAGGGAGAGAGAACGCAAAGCGCGGUUCCAAGAAAAGCUUCUGUGCAUCAACUCUAGAGACACCCGUACCGCAAACCGACACAGGUGUUCAGGUCGAGAAGACCAAGACGAACGAGUAAGAGGUCCUCAAGGAACUCGGCAAAAAAGCGGCCGUAAGUUAGCGAUAAGGCCUGCCCCUGUCUCGCAAGAGAUGGGGGCCGCAGUGAAAGUUUUCCCUUCAACUGUUUACCAAAAACACAGCUCCCUGCAAACUCGUAAGAGGACGUAUAGGGGGUGACACCUGACCAAUGCCGGAAGGUUAACCACGGUGGGUCUCAUACUUCGGUGUGAGGCUGGACUGUGUAAGCCCCGGUGAAUGUCGGCGAUAACUAUAAUCGUCCUAAGGUGCCGUGUUCGACUCUGUCGAACACGGUNNACGGCAGGAUUGGGACGAUUAUGGUGGUGAACAAUACAAGCUACCUUGCCGUGCAGUAAUGCGCGGAUUAAUCCACACAUGGCUAUAUGCGAAGUAGAUGUCUAAGGGUAAAAUAUACCUUAGGUAUGACUGAGCAGGAAAGACUAAGAGCAGAAGGAUGGAUAGUGGGAUUUACCGAUGGGGAAGGAUGCUUCUCCAUAAGUAUGUUCCGCAAUGCGACAACAAAGUUUGGUUGGCAAGUGUUCCCAGAGUUUGUCAUAACUCAGGGCAUGAAAAGCUUGCCAGCACUGAAGUUGUUUCAGUCAUUCUUCGGGUGCGGAAGAGUGUUUGUGAAUAAACGAUAUGACAAUCAUCACGAACAUGUGUAUCGAUAUUGUGUACGAUCUGUAAAAGAUCUGCAUGAAAUCAUAAUUCCGUUCUUUCAAAAACAUCCACUUCAUACAGCGAAGCAAAAAGAUUUUAUUCUUUUUGCAGAGGCUGUAGACAUGCUUCUUAAAAAAGAGCAUCUGACCGAGAGCGGAUUGAAAAAGAUUGCGCUCAAGAUAGAGCGCAUGAAUCGAAAGAAACCAUCUCAAUUCUUAGAAUCCCCAGAGACCAAACGCCGUGCUCCUGCAAAAGCAGGAUGAAGAUAGAGUCCAAAUUGGAGGAAUAUUUGAGCGUAAUUCCUUGUCGGGUAAGUUCCGACGUGCACGAAUGGUGUAAUGAGAGGGAAACUGUCUCGAGGACUCGCUCGGUGAAAAUGCAAUUCCGGUGAAGAUGCCGGAUACCUGUAGUUAGACGAAAAGACCCCAGGAGCUUUACUAUAGCUUCGUAUUGGCACUGCGGUAUUCCUGCGUAGCAUAGGUGGGAGACUUUGAAGCAUCGGUUUCGGCUGAUGUGGAGUCGCAAUAUGAAAUACCACUCUUGAAUUUUGCAGUGUCUAACCCCGUUGGGAUCCAACGGGGGACCGUGCGUGGCAGGUAGUUUUGGUGGGGCGCUAUCCUCCUAAAGAGUAACGGAGGAGUCUAUUAAGGUUCUCUAGUCGCGAAUGGAAACCGUGACGAUAGUGUAAUGGCAUAAGAGAGCUUAACUGCAAGGGGGACAUCCCGAGCAGAUGCGAAAGCAGAGCAUAGUGAACCGAUGGUACGCCUUAGAUGCGGCCAGNNCUGGGGAUAACAGGCUAGUUCCGCCCAAGCGUCCAUAGCGACGGCGGAGUUCGGCACCUCGAUGUCGGCUCACCUUAGCGCGGGGCUGGAGAAGGUCCCAAGCGUAUGGCUGUUCGCCAUUUAAAAAGGUACGCGAGCUGGGUUCAAACCGUUCAGCAACUGAUUGCAGAAUCGGUGAUUGAACGGUUUGAACCCCGAGGCAAAUGUUAGCUGCGUGGAGACGCAGUGUGCGUAAACGACAACUCACGGCGGUCGUACGUAGGAAUACGUACGUUAGCAAAUCAACUGAUAUCGGUGGAACCCUUAUGCAAAGGGCAAUACCGAGGGAAGCUCUAUGUAAUUAUUAUAGUUGCACCCUUAGAGACUGAAUGUUGAUCACCCAAAACGGACUUGCCCUGAGCAAGGUCG
Molecule: ribosomal RNA, 2191 nt
Filed under: groundwater metagenome
Description: bacterial LSU rRNA
Rfam family: Bacterial large subunit ribosomal RNA
Source: RNAcentral